AACGUACGCUGGCGGCACGCCUAACACAUGCAAGUCGAGCGAGGUAGCAAUACCUAGCGGCAGACGGGUGCGUAACAUGUGGGAAUCUGCCUUUUGGUUCGGAACAACACGGGGAAACCUGUGCUAAUACCGGAUAAGUCCUUACGGAGAAAGUUUUAAUGCCAAAAGAUGAGCCCGCAUUUGAUUAGCUAGUUGGUGAGGUAAAAGCUCACCAAGGCGAUAAUCAAUAGCUGAUUUGAGAGGAUGAUCAGCCACACUGGGACUGAGAUACGGCCCAGACUCCUACGGGAGGCAGCAGUGGGGAAUCUUGCACAAUGGGCGAAAGCCUGAUGCAGCGAUGCCGCGUGAGUGAAGAAGGCCUUUGGGUUGUAAAGCUCUUUUGUCGGGAAAGAUAAUGACUGUACCCGAAGAAUAAGGUCCGGCUAACUUCGUGCCAGCAGCCGCGGUAAUACGAAGGGACCUAGCGUAGUUCGGAAUUACUGGGCGUAAAGAGUAUGUAGGCGGCUAGAUAAGUUAAUUGUGAAAGCCCAAAGCUUAACUUUGGAAUUGCAAUUAAAACUAUUUAGCUGAAGUAUGAUAGAGGAAAGCGGAAUACAUAGUGUAGAGGUGAAAUUCGUAGAUAUUAUGUAGAACACCAGUUGCGAAGGCGGCUUUCUGGAUCAUUACUGACGCUGAGAUACGAAAGUAUGGGUAGCGAAGAGGAUUAGAUACCCUCGUAGUCCAUACCAUAAACGAUGAUUAUUAGAUGUGGGGAAUUAUUUCUCUGUAUCAUAGCUAACGCGUUAAAUAAUCCGCCUGGGGAGUACGACCGCAAGGUUAAAACUCAAAUGAAUUGACGGGGACCCGCACAAGCGGUGGAGCAUGUGGUUUAAUUCGAAGCAACGCGCAGAACCUUACCAACCCUUGACAUGUUCGUCGCGAGACUAAGAAAUUAGUCUCU
RNAcentral lists this ribosomal RNA (940 nucleotides) under uncultured bacterium. RNAcentral's name for it is "bacterial SSU rRNA". It matches the Rfam family "Bacterial small subunit ribosomal RNA", at positions 28 to 1015 of the family's 1533-position model. The record is from RNAcentral.